AUUGAACGCUGGCGGCAGGCCUAACACAUGCAAGUCGAGCGGAUGAAGGGAGCUUGCUCCUGGAUUCAGCGGCGGACGGGGGAGUAAUACCUAGGAAUCUGCCUGGUAGUGGGGGAUAACGUCCGGAAACGGGCGCUAAUACCGCAUACGUCCUGAGGGAGAAAGUGGGGGAUGUUCGGACCUCACGCUAUCAGAUGAACCUAGGUCGGAUUAGCUAGUUGGUGGGGUAAAGGCCUACCAAGGCGACGAUCCGUAACUGGUCUGAGAGGAUGAUCAGUCACAUGGGAACUGAGACAGGGUCCAGAGUACUACGGGAGGCAGCAGUGUGGAAUAUUGGACAGUGGGCGAAAGCCUGAUCCAGCCAUGGCGCGUGUGUGAAGAAGGUCUUCGGAUUGUAAAGAACUUUAAGGUGGGAGGAAGGGCAGUAAGUUAAUACCUUGCUUGUGUGACGUUACCAACAGAAGAAGCACCGGCUAACUUCGUG
This 484-nucleotide ribosomal RNA is filed under the name uncultured bacterium. Its description in RNAcentral is "partial 16S ribosomal RNA". It matches the Rfam family "Bacterial small subunit ribosomal RNA", at positions 30 to 507 of the family's 1533-position model. The record is from RNAcentral.